This is a long non-coding RNA of Trematomus bernacchii (emerald rockcod), 236 nucleotides long. RefSeq lists it as uncharacterized. The transcript has 3 exons. The record is from RefSeq and is a predicted model, not a curated record. NCBI's taxonomy places the organism in Eukaryota, Metazoa, Chordata, Actinopteri, Perciformes, Nototheniidae.
AUGGUUGCCCGUGUCAUAUUUUACACAACACUGCAAAGCGAGCAGGUCUUACCUUUACUGAGGUGUCACAUUUUGAUCUGGAGGACGUUGUGGUUGAUGUGGGCUUUUGGUUUAAAGGAAGCACCAACCGCAAGGGAUUUCUGGCAGAGUUUUGUGAGCUCUUUGAGUCAGAAUACCUGGAAGUCCUACAGCAUGCCUCUGUGCGGUGGUUGAGCCUUGAAACCUGUGUGACCCGC